UACGUAGGGGGCUAGCGUUGUCCGGAUUUAUUGGGCGUAAAGCGCGCGUAGGCGGCCAGGUAGGUCUGCUGCUAAAACUCGAGGCUCAACCUCGAGACGUCGGCGGAAACCAUCUGGCUAGAGUCCGGAAGAGGAGAGUGGAAUUCCUGGUGUAGCGGUGAAAUGCGCAGAUAUCAGGAAGAACACCCGUGGCGAAGGCGGCUCUCUGGGACGGUACUGACGCUGAGACGCGAAAGCGUGGGGAGCGAACAGG
RNAcentral lists this ribosomal RNA (253 nucleotides) under uncultured bacterium. RNAcentral's name for it is "partial 16S ribosomal RNA". It matches the Rfam family "Bacterial small subunit ribosomal RNA", at positions 524 to 776 of the family's 1533-position model. The record is from RNAcentral.